This 337-nucleotide ribosomal RNA is filed under the name uncultured bacterium. Its description in RNAcentral is "bacterial SSU rRNA". It matches the Rfam family "Bacterial small subunit ribosomal RNA", at positions 1 to 334 of the family's 1533-position model. The record is from RNAcentral.
AGUGUAGAUUCAGAGUUUGAUCCUGGCUCAGGAUGAACGCUGGCGGCGUGCUUAACACAUGCAAGUCGAACGAUGAAGCCCAGCUUGCUGGGUGGAUUAGUGGCGAACGGGUGAGUAACACGUGAGUAACCUGCCCCCGACUCUGGGAUAAGCCCGGGAAACUGGGUCUAAUACCGGAUAUGACCAUGGAACGCAUGUUUUGUGGUGGAAAGAUUUAUCGGUGGGGGAUGGACUCGCGGCCUAUCAGCUUGUUGGUGAGGUAAUGGCUCACCAAGGCGACGACGGGUAGCCGGCCUGAGAGGGUGACCGGCCACACUGGGACUGAGACACGGCCCAG